Juglans regia (Persian walnut) is the source of this 119-nucleotide small nuclear RNA. RefSeq annotates it as U5 spliceosomal RNA. Lineage: Eukaryota; Viridiplantae; Streptophyta; Magnoliopsida; Fagales; Juglandaceae. The record is from RefSeq and is a predicted model, not a curated record. The transcript has a single exon.
AGCCAUGCGGUGAGCACAGAGCGAACUAUUCUUUCGCCUUUUACUAAAGAAUACCGUGUGUUCGCCGCUCAACGUGGCAUACACCAAUUGUUUUAAGGGGUGGACUGCAGUUGAAUCCU